This 205-nucleotide long non-coding RNA is filed under the name Lathyrus oleraceus (garden pea). RNAcentral's name for it is "Pisum sativum (pea) long non-coding RNA (PSAT_LNC021348)". The record is from RNAcentral. Lineage: Eukaryota; Viridiplantae; Streptophyta; Magnoliopsida; Fabales; Fabaceae.
GUGAUAUAGAUCUCUUUAUAGAUCUUCCCAAGCAGAUGUCGGGUGGUUAAUCUCUCCAUAUAGAGUCAGCCCCUAAGCAGAAAGUGUCUGUUUUUCCUUCUGCAGUUCCCCACUGAGAUUAUCCUCGUGGAUGACGGUUUCUUCCGUUUCCUCCCAACACAUAUAUUGGGAUGGAUUUGCCUAUUGAGUUAUAUCCUCAUAGGAC